Molecule: non-coding RNA, 1090 nt
Organism: Biomphalaria pfeifferi
Lineage: Eukaryota; Metazoa; Mollusca; Gastropoda; Planorbidae
Source: the annotation of a GenBank genome assembly
UGAGUGAAGCACUGAAUCAUUCCAGCCUUCUUAAACAGUAUAACAACACAUUUAACCAGACAAACUAACAAGUACAUAUAAAAGUUACUUAAACAUAAUGAAUUAAUACUGUUAAAUAAAAUUGUAUGCCCUAAAAUACAUUUUCAGAGUAUAAAAACAACCAAUACCACUUACUAGUACAUUUAGUGUUAUGUACUAAAUGAUAUAAUAUAUUUUACUAAAUGUUUUAUACAUGUUUUGGACAUUACUCUAAAAUUGAAUAUAGAUCCAAGCUCAGAUUUCAAUCAAGGCACAAUAGCCAAAUGGGUUUCAAAUUAGAGAUUUUUAAAGCUCCUUACCACAAGACCAGGCAGCCAGAUAUAUAUGAAUGUUGUCUUGGAAUGACAGCCUGGUCAAGUGGUAUUUUCUUUUGACUGCCAUCACAAUGGUCCUCACCCUGUAGAAGAAAAACUAUAUGGGAAGCUGCCUGAUCUGGAAACCACUUUGGAAUUCAUCUUAGAUAUGGACCACUUGUCUGAACUCUCCAACAUAACAAUGAAGAAGAACAAUGGACCUAAGUGGAACUUGCCCACUUCUAUCCUUUGCCAUCCUGCAGGAGGUUUAGACUACAACCAGUGGUGUAGCUAAGGUGAGGGGAGAAUUUGAAAAUCCCCCGGGCCCCCAAACUAGUGUUUUUAUAUUAAAUAUUGUGCAAAAUGCAGGGGGCAAAGAGAUAAAGCCCCCAACUGGAAAAUUCCUAACUUCACCCCUAAGAACAACCUAAUAAUCUUCAUUUAUCAAGGAAUGUCUAAAAUGCAUAAAACAAAAGACAUAAAACAAUGUUACAUUUUUAUCAAAAUUAUGUUUUUAUACAUAAGAUAGUAUUGUUUUUGAAUAGUAUACAGUAAGAUAACAUGCAGUACAUAAAAUGUAAUUAUGAAAGUUGAAUGAAGAUGUACAUUAUUUACAAAAAAAGUGUCAAAUUUAAAUUUUGGAAACUUGCAUAUAAAAAAGAAUAUUAUAGAUUUUGUGCUUUCUAAAAAAAAAAAAACUUAGAUAUGUAAAUAUAAAUUUUUGUUAAUUUUCUUUCAGGCACUUCAGUUGUUUUUUU